RNAcentral lists this ribosomal RNA (497 nucleotides) under uncultured bacterium. RNAcentral's name for it is "partial 16S ribosomal RNA". It matches the Rfam family "Bacterial small subunit ribosomal RNA", at positions 899 to 1397 of the family's 1533-position model. The record is from RNAcentral.
ACUCAAAGGAAUUGACGGGGGCCCGCACAAGCAGCGGAGCAUGUGGUUUAAUUCGACGCAACGCGAAGAACCUUACCUGGGCUUGACAUGUGGAUGACCGGCCUGGAAACAGGUCUUCCCUUCGGGGCAUCUUCACAGGUGGUGCAUGGCUGUCGUCAGCUCGUGUCGUGAGAUGUUGGGUUAAGUCCCGCAACGAGCGCAACCCCCGUCGUAUGUUGCCAGCAUUUAGUUGGGGACUCAUGCGAGACUGCCGGUGACAAACCGGAGGAAGGUGGGGAUGACGUCAAGUCAUCAUGCCCCUUAUGUUCAGGGCUACACACGUGCUACAUUGGCGCGUACAGAGGGCUGCGAUGCCGCGAGGCGGAGCGAAUCCCUUAAAGCGCGUCUCGGUUCGGAUUGCAGGCUGAAACCCGCCUGCAUGAAGGCGGAGUUGCUAGUAAUCGCGGAUCAGCAUUGCCGCGGUGAAUACGUUCCCGGGCCUUGUACACACCGCCCGU